RNAcentral lists this ribosomal RNA (464 nucleotides) under uncultured bacterium. Its description in RNAcentral is "partial 16S ribosomal RNA". It matches the Rfam family "Bacterial small subunit ribosomal RNA", at positions 28 to 507 of the family's 1533-position model. The record is from RNAcentral.
GACGAACGCUGGCGGCGUGCUUAACACAUGCAAGUCGAACGGAAAGGCCCAGCUUGCUGGGUGCUCGCGUGGCGAACGGGUGAGUAACACGUGGGUGAUCUGCCUCUAACUUCGGGAUAAGCCUGGGAAACUGGGUCUAAUACCGGAUAGGACAAUCGUUUAGUGUCGGUUGUGGAAAGUUUUUUCGGUUAGGGAUGAGCUCGCGGCCUAUCAGCUUGUUGGUGGGGUAAUGGCCUACCAAGGCGUCGACGGGUAGCCGGCCUGGGAGGGUGGACGGCCACAUUGGGACUGAGAUACGGCCCAGACUCCUACGGGAGGCAGCAGCGGGGAAUAUUGCACAAUGGGCGCAAGCCUGAUGCAGCGACGCCGCGUGGGGGAUGACGGCCUUCGGGUUGUGAACCUCUUUCGACAGGGACGAAGCUUUGGUGACGGUACCUGUAUAAGAAGCACCGGCUAACUACGUG